Vanessa tameamea is the source of this 570-nucleotide long non-coding RNA. RefSeq lists it as uncharacterized. The record is from RefSeq and is a predicted model, not a curated record. The transcript is spliced from 4 exons. NCBI's taxonomy places the organism in Eukaryota, Metazoa, Arthropoda, Insecta, Lepidoptera, Nymphalidae.
AAAUCUUAUGGCAAGUUUGGGGUAAAGCAACGUGUGUUUCAAAAAAGGAAUUUAUGUAUUAUUUUCCAUUAGGGUUGGCCGUGUAUUUGAUGGAUACUAUCUUCAUAGACAGAAGAAAACCUUCGGAUGCGGUUAAGAUUUUACAGAUGAAAGCGAAAAAGUUUUUUCAGAAUAAGACUAAGAUUGUAAUCUUUCCAGAAGGUAAAAGAAAUAACAAUUUCACAAAGCUCCUGCCAUUUAAGAAAGGCGCCUUUAACAUGGCUGUAGAAAGUCAAGUACCCAUAAUUCCAAUCGUGAUUUCGCGGUAUUAUUUUAUAAAUAACAAAAAGUAUAUUUUUAAUCGUGGUCAUGUCAUAGUGCAAUGUCUGGAGCCAGUGUCCACCGAGGGUUUGACGAAGGAUGAUGUACCGGACCUUAUAGAUCGGGUUCACAGUAAUAUGGAAAGAGUUUUCAAGGAAAUAUCGGAGGAGCUACUGAGGAGAAAGGGAGAGCUAAAAAAUUCUAAUCUAAAGGCGGGCGAACAUUUACGCUGCCUGAUAAGUGGUGCCUUUCGCUUUUAAAUACACACAC